Molecule: ribosomal RNA, 509 nt
Filed under: uncultured bacterium
Lineage: Bacteria
Description: partial 16S ribosomal RNA
Rfam family: Bacterial small subunit ribosomal RNA
Source: RNAcentral
GACGAACGCUGGCGGCGUGCUUAACACAUGCCAGUCGAACGGAAAGGCCCUGCUUUUGUGGGGUGCUCGAGUGGCGAACGGGUGAGUAACACGUGAGUAACCUGCCCUUGACUUUGGGAUAACUUCAGGAAACUGGGGCUAAUACCGGAUAGGAGCUCCUGCUGCAUGGUGGGGGUUGGAAAGUUUCGGCGGUUGGGGAUGGACUCGCGGCUUAUCAGCUUGUUGGUGGGGUAGUGGCUUACCAAGGCUUUGACGGGUAGCCGGCCUGAGAGGGUGACCGGCGAUGGAGAGAGGGAGAUCGGGCCCGGGAGCAGAGGGGGGGCGGGAGAGGGGAAGAUGGAGCGAUGGGGGGAGGGCGUAGGAAGAGACGCGGCGGGGGGGAUGAGGGCCUUCGGGUUGCAAACCGGUGCCGCCGGGGACGAGGGGUGAGGGAGGAGAAUGGGAAAAGAAGCAGCGGAUAACGCCGUGCCAGCAGCAGGGGUAACAGUAGGAAGAGCACACGUCCGACC